RNAcentral lists this ribosomal RNA (546 nucleotides) under Pseudomonas anguilliseptica. Its description in RNAcentral is "bacterial SSU rRNA". It matches the Rfam family "Bacterial small subunit ribosomal RNA", at positions 50 to 591 of the family's 1533-position model. Lineage: Bacteria; Pseudomonadati; Pseudomonadota; Gammaproteobacteria; Pseudomonadales; Pseudomonadaceae. The record is from RNAcentral.
AACACAUGCAAGUCGAGCGGUAGAGAGAAGCUUGCUUCUCUUGAGAGCGGCGGACGGGUGAGUAAUGCCUAGGAAUCUGCCUAGUGGUGGGGGAUAACGUUCGGAAACGGACGCUAAUACCGCAUACGUCCUACGGGAGAAAGCGGGGGACCUUCGGGCCUCGCGCCAUUAGAUGAGCCUAGGUCGGAUUAGCUAGUUGGUGAGGUAAUGGCUCACCAAGGCUACGAUCCGUAACUGGUCUGAGAGGAUGAUCAGUCACACUGGAACUGAGACACGGUCCAGACUCCUACGGGAGGCAGCAGUGGGGAAUAUUGGACAAUGGGCGAAAGCCUGAUCCAGCCAUGCCGCGUGUGUGAAGAAGGUCUUCGGAUUGUAAAGCACUUUAAGUUGGGAGGAAGGGUAGUAACUUAAUACGUUGCUACUUUGACGUUACCGACAGAAUAAGCACCGGCUAACUUCGUGCCAGCAGCCGCGGUAAUACGAAGGGUGCAAGCGUUAAUCGGAAUUACUGGGCGUAAAGCGCGCGUAGGUGGUUCAGUAAGUUGG